Molecule: transfer RNA, 142 nt
Filed under: Pseudomonas aeruginosa
Lineage: Bacteria; Pseudomonadati; Pseudomonadota; Gammaproteobacteria; Pseudomonadales; Pseudomonadaceae
Description: tRNA-OTHER
Source: RNAcentral
GCGGUGCACGGUGCGCAACUGGUGAUGGGACGCCGCUCGAUCGCCGGCUCGGCCAUCGGCGGCAUCGCCGAGACCCAGGAAAUGCUGGAUUUAGGUUCCAGCGCCGCAAGGCGUGAGAGUUCGAGUCUCUCCGUCCGCACCA